This 497-nucleotide ribosomal RNA is filed under the name uncultured bacterium. RNAcentral's name for it is "partial 16S ribosomal RNA". It matches the Rfam family "Bacterial small subunit ribosomal RNA", at positions 28 to 507 of the family's 1533-position model. The record is from RNAcentral.
GAUGAACGCUGGCGGCGUGCCUAAUACAUGCAAGUCGAGCGAACGGACGAGAAGCUUGCUUCUCUGAUGUUAGCGGCGGACGGGUGAGUAACACGUGGAUAACCUACCUAUAAGACUGGGAUAACUUCGGGAAACCGGAGCUAAUACCGGAUGAUAUUUUGAACCGCAUGGUUCAAAAGUGAAAGACGGUCUUGCUGUCACUUAUAGAUGGAUCCGCGCUGCAUUAGCUAGUUGGUAAGGUAAUGGCUUACCAAGGCAACGAUGCAUAGCCGACCUGAGAGGGUGAUCGGCCGCACUGGAACUGAGACACGGUCCAGACUCCUACGGGAGGCAGCAGUAGGGAAUCUUCCGCAAUGGGCGAAAGCCUGACGGAGCAACGCCGCGUGAGUGAUGAAGGUCUUCGGAUCGUAAAACUCUGUUAUUAGGGAAGAACAUAUGUGUAAGUAACUGUGCACAUCUUGACGGUACCUAAUCAGAAAGCCACGGCUAGCUACGUG